CCUACGGGAGGCAGCAGUGAGGAAUAUUGGUCAAUGGGCUUACGCCUGAACCAGCCAAGUCGCGUGAGGGAAGACUGCCCUAUGGGUUGUAAACCUCUUUUGUCAGGGAGCAACGCCGGCUACGUGUAGCCGGAUCGAGAGUACCUGAAGAAAAAGCAUCGGCUAACUCCGUGCCAGCAGCCGCGGUAAUACGGAGGAUGCGAGCGUUAUCCGGAUUUAUUGGGUUUAAAGGGUGCGUAGGCGGAAUGCCAAGUCAGCGGUAAAAUCGCGGGGCUCAACCUCGCUCCGCCGUUGAAACUGGCGUUCUUGAGUGGGCGAGAAGUAUGCGGAAUGCGUGGUGUAGCGGUGAAAUGCAUAGAGAGCAUACAGAACACCGAUUGCGAAGGCAGCAUACCAAACUAUAUCUGACGUUGAGGCACGAAAGCGUGGGUAGCAAACAGGAUUAGAUACCCUUGUAGUC
This 460-nucleotide ribosomal RNA is filed under the name uncultured bacterium. Its description in RNAcentral is "partial 16S ribosomal RNA". It matches the Rfam family "Bacterial small subunit ribosomal RNA", at positions 338 to 795 of the family's 1533-position model. The record is from RNAcentral.